This 349-nucleotide long non-coding RNA is filed under the name Mus spicilegus (steppe mouse). RNAcentral's name for it is "lncRNA (ENSMSIG00000014949.1)". Lineage: Eukaryota; Metazoa; Chordata; Mammalia; Rodentia; Muridae. The record is from RNAcentral.
GUAACUAUUAGGAUGGAUUGGGAUUGGCCUAAGGCCCAAGCUUUUCUUUCUUUCAUUUUAGUUCUGUUUGUUUAUAUGUGCCUCUGUCCUCCUGCUUUUCUGCACCCACUGCUUGUCAUGGCUCUGCUGGUCACAGAGGAACUAAUUGGCCAUGGCAUUUCCUGCCUUAGUCAUCAGGCAUUUACUUCUUAGUCCUUCACAGCCUCCUGGCAGGAACUGGGAAGGUAAAUCUUCAAUUCUAAGCACCGCCCUGAGAACUCAUAGCUUAAAGUCUUGGAUACCAGGUGAUGAGACUCCCACUUCACCACUGGAUUCACCCAUUGGUGCUUUCAGAAUAUUUCCUUGCUAG